Molecule: unclassified non-coding RNA, 309 nt
Filed under: Hevea brasiliensis (rubber tree)
Lineage: Eukaryota; Viridiplantae; Streptophyta; Magnoliopsida; Malpighiales; Euphorbiaceae
Source: RNAcentral
CUGUUGGCAAGAAUGGUUCUGCAGAUGCGAGGCACUAUUCCACAAGGGCACAAGUGGGAUGUUAUGGUGGACUUAUUCUUCUAUAGGGAGCCUGAGGAAACCAAGCAACAGGAAGAGGAGGAAGCAGUACCAGUUACUGAUUAUGCACUCCCUUCUACUCAUUAUGGGCUUUCUAAUACUGAUUGGGAUGCUCAAAUUGCUGAUGGCCAGUGGACUGCUGAAGCAGCUCCACCACCUAUUUCUGCUGUUCCUGCUUCCAACUCAUAUCCAGAGCAGGGUAGUGGAUUCUCUAAUGAAUGGGACGCAGCA